This 241-nucleotide ribosomal RNA is filed under the name uncultured Staphylococcus sp. Its description in RNAcentral is "partial 16S ribosomal RNA". It matches the Rfam family "Bacterial small subunit ribosomal RNA", at positions 99 to 334 of the family's 1533-position model. Lineage: Bacteria; Bacillati; Bacillota; Bacilli; Caryophanales; Staphylococcaceae. The record is from RNAcentral.
CGGAUGGGUGAGUAACACGUGGAUAACCUACCUAUAAGACUGGGAUAACUUCGGGAAACCGGAGCUAAUACCGGAUAAUAUAUUGAACCGCAUGGUUCAAUAGUGAAAGACGGUUUUGCUGUCACUUAUAGAUGGAUCCGCGCCGCAUUAGCUAGUUGGUAAGGUAACGGCUUACCAAGGCAACGAUGCGUAGCCGACCUGAGAGGGUGAUCGGCCACACUGGAACUGAUACACGGUCCAG